AGCGUACACAGGUGCUGCAUGGCUGUCGUCAGCUCGUGUCGUGAGAUGUGGGUUAAGUCCCGCAACGAGCGCAACCCUGCAUUCAGUUGCCAUCGGUAAGGCCGGGCACUCUGGAUGGACUGCCGGCGACAAGCCGGAGGAAGUGGGGACGACGUCAAGUCAUCAUGGCCCUUAUGUCCAGGGCGACACACGUGCUACAAUGGCCGGCACAACGGGAAGCGAAGGGGCGACCCUGAGCGGAUCCCACAAAAGCCGGUCUCAGUUCGGAUUGCAGUCUGCAACUCGACUGCAUGAAGUUGGAAUCGCUAGUAAUCGUGGAUCAGCCAAGCCGCGGUGAAUACGUUCCCGGGCCUU
This 354-nucleotide ribosomal RNA is filed under the name uncultured Thermovirga sp. RNAcentral describes it as "bacterial SSU rRNA". It matches the Rfam family "Bacterial small subunit ribosomal RNA", at positions 1027 to 1382 of the family's 1533-position model. The record is from RNAcentral. Lineage: Bacteria; Thermotogati; Synergistota; Synergistia; Synergistales; Thermovirgaceae.